This 253-nucleotide ribosomal RNA is filed under the name uncultured bacterium. Its description in RNAcentral is "partial 16S ribosomal RNA". It matches the Rfam family "Bacterial small subunit ribosomal RNA", at positions 524 to 776 of the family's 1533-position model. The record is from RNAcentral.
UACAGAGAGUGCAAGCGUUAAUCGGAAUUACUGGGCGUAAAGGGCAUGUAGGUGGAUACUUAAGUCGGAUGUGAAAUCCCUGGGCUUAACCUAGGAAUUGCAUCCGAUACUGGGUGUCUAGAGUAUGAUAGAGGGUAGUGGAAUUUCCGGUGUAGCGGUGAAAUGCGUAGAUAUCGUGAGGAACACCAGAGGCGAAGGCGGUUACCUGGACAAUUACUGACGCUCAGGCACGAAAGCAUGGGUAGCAAAAGGG